GAUGAACGCUGGCGGCGUGCCUAAUACAUGCAAGUCGAGCGAACAGACGAGGAGCUUGCUCCUCUGACGUUAGCGGCGGACGGGUGAGUAACACGUGGAUAACCUACCUAUAAGACUGGGAUAACUUCGGGAAACCGGAGCUAAUACCGGAUAAUAUAUUGAACCGCAUGGUUCAAUAGUGAAAGACGGUUUUGCUGUCACUUAUAGAUGGAUCCGCGCCGCAUUAGCUAGUUGGUAAGGUAACGGCUUACCAAGGCAACGAUGCGUAGCCGACCUGAGAGGGUGAUCAGCCACACUAGAACUGAGACACGGUCCAGACUCCUACGGGAGGCAGCAGUAGGGAAUCUUCCGCAAAGGGCGAAAGCCUGACGGAGCAACGCCGCGUGAGUGAUGAAGGUCUUCGGAUCGUAAAACUCUGUUAUUAGGGAAGAACAAAUGUGUAAGUAACUAUGCACGUCUUGACGGUACCUAAUCAGAAAGCCACGGCUAACUACGUG
RNAcentral lists this ribosomal RNA (497 nucleotides) under uncultured bacterium. RNAcentral's name for it is "partial 16S ribosomal RNA". It matches the Rfam family "Bacterial small subunit ribosomal RNA", at positions 28 to 507 of the family's 1533-position model. The record is from RNAcentral.